Molecule: ribosomal RNA, 1013 nt
Filed under: Omalonyx unguis
Lineage: Eukaryota; Metazoa; Mollusca; Gastropoda; Stylommatophora; Succineidae
Description: 16S ribosomal RNA
Source: RNAcentral
UUGCUUUACUUAUUAUUUUUAAUUUUAAUAAUAUAAAUUUGUGUUUUUUUUUAAGUAUAAUAUUUAAUUUACCUUUUGCAUAAUGGUUAAUCAAUUAUAUUUUAUGUUUAUAAUUUCUCGAAAUAAAAAGAUCUAAUAAAUAUAUAUUAAUUUAAUGUAGCAUAAUUAAAUCUUUGAAAUUUUUAUUAGUGAUGAAAUGUCCACAAUUUUUAUGAUAUCUAGAUUUAAUAUAAAUAUAUAUAGUAUAAGUUAAUUACUCAAUUAAAAAGUUAUAAGAUUUUUUAAUUUUAUUAUUUUUGAAUUUAUAAUAAAGAAAUGGUAUUAACUUGUUUUUCUAAUAUUAUACAAAAUAAAAUUUCUACAUAAUAAUUUUAUUAUAUUAUUAUUUUUAUAAAUUAAUAUAAAAAUAUUUAAUGAUUAAAUUAGUAUAAUUUAAUUUAAAAAUAUAUUAAUGAACUCGUCUUAAUUUAAUCAACUGUUUAACAAAAACAUAGCCUAAAGUAUUUAUUUUAGGUAAUUUCUGCUCAAUGUUAUUUUAAAUGGCCGCAGUACUUUGACUGUGCUAAGGUAGCAUAAUCAAUUGUUCUUUAAUUGGGGACUAGAAUGAAUGAAUUUUUGGUUAAAUUCUUUAUUUUUAUAUUUUAUUAAAAUUUAUUUAUUAGGUGAAAAUACCUAAAAAUAUUUAUUAGACGAGAAGACCCCAGGAAUUUGUUUUAUUUUUUUUUUAUUGGGGCGAUAUUUAAACAAAUAAACUUUAAUUAUUAUAAUUUAACGAAAUAUUUUAAUUAAAAAUAAAUUACCCUGGGGAUAACAGCAUAAUUUUUAUAAAAGAUUGUGACCUCGAUGUUGGACUAGAAAGAAACUUUACUUAAAGAGUAAUUUUUUGUGUUCUGUUCGAACAAUAUAAAAUUUUUCUACAUGAUCUGAGUUCAGACCGGCGUAAGCCAGGUCAGUUUCUAUCUAUUUUUGUUUAUUUAGUAGUACGAAAGGACCCUAUUUAAUUUUUUAAAAAA